RNAcentral lists this ribosomal RNA (1453 nucleotides) under uncultured Bordetella sp. RNAcentral describes it as "partial 16S-23S ribosomal RNA intergenic spacer". It matches the Rfam family "Bacterial small subunit ribosomal RNA". Lineage: Bacteria; Pseudomonadati; Pseudomonadota; Betaproteobacteria; Burkholderiales; Alcaligenaceae. The record is from RNAcentral.
GGUUUGAUUAUGGCUCAGAUUGAACGCUGGCAGGAUGCUUUACACAUGCAAGUCGAACGGCAGCACGGACUUUCCGGUCUGGUGGCGAGUGAACGGGUGAGUAAUGUCGGAACGAUACCUAAAUGGCAGGGGAUAACUACGCGAAAGCGUAGCUAAUACCGCAUACGCCCUUCGGGGGAAAGCGGGGGACCUUCGGGCCUCGCGCAAACGACGGCCGAUAUCGGAUUGGCUAGUUGGUGGGGUAACGGCUCACCAAGGCGACGAUCCGUAGCUGGUUUGAGAGGACGACCAGCCACACUGGGACUGAGACGCGGCCCAGACUCACGGGAGGCAGCGGUGGGGAAUUUUGGACAAUGGAAACCCACAGUCCAGCCAUCCCGUGUGCGAUGAAGGCCUUCCGGGUUGUAAAGCACUUUUGGCAGGAAAGAAACGGCACGGGAUAAUACCCCGUGCAACUGACAAUACCUGCAGAAUAAGCACCGGCUAACUACGUGCCAGCAGCCGCGGUAAUACGUAGGGUGCAAGCGUUAAUAAUCGGAAUUACUGGGCGUAAAGCGUGCGCAGGCGGUUCGGAAAGAAAGAUGUGAAAUCCCAGAGCUUAACUGAUUCAUUUUUAACGCUACCGAGCUAGAGUGUGUCAGAGGGGUGGAAUUCCGCGUGUAGCAGUGAUGGCGUAGAUAUGCGGAGGAACACCGAUGGCGAAGGCAGCCUCCUGGGAUAACACUGACGCUCACACGAAAAGCGUGAAACAGGAUUAGAUACCCUGGUAGUCCACGCCCUAAACGAUGUCAACUAGCUGGUGGGGCCUUCGGGCCAGCAUUUAGCCAUAACUAACAUGAAGUUAGGCGGCCAUAGAGUACGUGCUUAGGUCAAAACUCAAAGAAUUGACGGGGACCCGCACAAGCGGUGGAUAGUGUGGAUUAAUUCGAUGCAACGCGAAAAACCCUUACCUACCUUGACAUGUCUGGAAUCCCGAAGAGAUUUGGGAGUGCUCGCAAGAGAACCGGAACACAGACGCUGCAUGGCUGUCGUCAGCUCGUGUCGUGAGAUGUUGGGUUAGUCCAUAACAAGCCUGUACUUGUCAGCUGAGUUGCUGAGAACUCUAAUGAGACUGCCAGUGGAAACGGAGGAAGGUGGGGAUGACGUCCGUCUCCUCAUGGCCCUUAUGGGUAGGGCUUCACACGUCAUACAAUGGUCGGGACGAUUCGCCAACCCGCAAGGGGGAACCAAAUCCCAGAAACCCGAUCGUAGUCCGGAUCGCAGUCUGCAACUCUGUUCGUGAAGUCCGGAAUCGCUAGUAAUCGCGGAUCAGCAUGUCGCGGUGAAUACGUUCCGGGUCUUGUACACACCGCCCGUCACACCAUGGGAGUGGGUUUUACCAGAAGUGAUUAGCUAACAAUGAGGCGAUUACCACGGUAGGAUUCAUGACUGGGGUGAAGUCGUAACAAGGUAA